This 439-nucleotide ribosomal RNA is filed under the name uncultured bacterium. Its description in RNAcentral is "bacterial SSU rRNA". It matches the Rfam family "Bacterial small subunit ribosomal RNA", at positions 355 to 793 of the family's 1533-position model. The record is from RNAcentral.
UGAGGAAUAUUGGUCAAUGGGAGCAAUCCUGAACCAGCAAUGCCGCGUGUGGGAUGACGGGGCUCAGCCCUGUAAACCACUGUCGGACGGGACGAAAGGAGCCUUCAGGGCUCUGGGACGGUACCGUCAAAGGAAGGGUCGGCUAACUACGUGCCAGCAGCCGCGGUAAUACGUAGGACCCGAGCGUUGUCCGGAAUUACUGGGUAUAAAGGGUGCGCAGGCGGCCGUGUGCGUCAGAGGUGAAAUCUCCGGGCUUAACCCGGAGGGUGCCUUUGAUACGGCAUGGCUUGAGUCCGAGAGAGGGUGAUGGAAUUCCUGGUGUAGCAGUGAAAUGCGUAGAUAUCAGGAGGAACACCGGUGGCGAAGGCGGUCACCUGGCUCGGCACUGACGCUUAGGCACGAAAGCGUGGGGAUCAAACAGGAUUAGAAACCCGAGUAG